This 885-nucleotide unclassified non-coding RNA is filed under the name Hevea brasiliensis (rubber tree). The record is from RNAcentral. Lineage: Eukaryota; Viridiplantae; Streptophyta; Magnoliopsida; Malpighiales; Euphorbiaceae.
UUUAGUUUUUUCUUUGAUUAGGACGUUGGUCCAUUUUUUCUUAAGUAUUCUGAAUACUCAAAAAUAUAAAAAAUAUUUUCUAAAAAAAAUUUUUUGUAAAAAAAAUGGAGUCUUAAUUUUUAAUUAAUUUCUCUUCACAUUAAUUUUAGAUAUAAAAAUUAAAGAUAUGUUUAACAUUACAUUUGAAAUUAAUUUAUGAAAAUAGAUUCGUAUAAACUUUAAUUAACUAGAUUAUUUAACUUAAUAAUAAAGUUAAGGGUAUCAAGAUUUGAAAAUUUUAGUCCAAUUAAUUAGACAAAUUAUAAAAUUUUAUAGCCAAGAUAUUUCAAAUGUAGUUUCUAAUUUAUGAUUAUUAACUGAAAUGGAAACGCCAACACUUAACACCACCCAUAUGCAAAUUACUUACGUAUAUCAUCAUCGCUAAACGGCUUGGAGUCGGCGAUCUCGUCUGGCGGCAAGGUGAAGCCGGUGAAGGAGAAAGACAAGCCCAAGCUGGCACUGGAGGCUCGGCUCAAAGCUGCUCCGCUGCAGACGUCAUCUAAGUCAAACUUCAUCUGUGCACUCCUUGACUUUCUUAUGUGUGUGUUCUUGCCACCUGCACCACCGCGCCCGGGUGACGCUGCCAUCAUCAACCGUUUGCUGGACUUCCUCGACAGAUUUCCACUGCCCUCCGACACUCCUCCCGAAACCUCAUUCUUUGGCGGAGAUUUAUACGCCGCCGCCACAGCCUCCACCAAUUGCUCUGAUUUUGUUCUCACUAAACUGGAAACGCUUGCUUUCUCCAUGCUACAAUCUUCAGCAAGAAACACUUUCCUUUCCCUUAUCUUUUUCUGCUGCUAAAAGUGAAGGAACUUGGGAGAGAAGAUGAUAAAAGUAGGUGAUCUC